Long non-coding RNA from Syngnathus acus (greater pipefish), 1088 nucleotides. RefSeq lists it as uncharacterized. The record is from RefSeq and is a predicted model, not a curated record. The transcript is spliced from 2 exons. NCBI's taxonomy places the organism in Eukaryota, Metazoa, Chordata, Actinopteri, Syngnathiformes, Syngnathidae.
UACAGGAGGGAUCUUGCGAGACUGAUAGCACGAUGAGAAAUAAGGGGGAUAAUUCAUAACUCCUGGGGGGAGUGUUUGUUUGUUUGUUUGUUUGUUUGUUUGUUUGUUUGUUUGUUUGUUUGUUUCAGGGAUCACGUGGGCCUCUGGAUCAUAGGAGUAGAUGCCGAGAACGCUCGGAGGUUCUACUGAGCACUUCGAUGAGACGACCACCACCAAUCGUCCCCGUGCCCCAAUCAACCCCAAAAGAGAAGAUUUUGUUUGCUGACGACUGGUUAUGGAGAUGUAGUUUACUAGGGAACCCCUGGACGCUGACCGGGGCCUGGAAAGGGACUCUGAGAACGGUGAAGUGGACAUAAAGAUUUUGGAUGGACGGCAGGCCCUGGGCAGUGAUCCCGGCGCAAUUCACUACUGAGCAUUCAGUGGACUGGACUUUGCAUCGACAGGCACUUACAUAUGCAAGGGGGCAACACUGAGGGCGCUUCAACGUUGCGGUAUGCUGUGAUAUUGCGUCAAUAUUAUAUCCUUCAUUACUUUAUCAGAUGACUACAUGCCGCAUUACUUUAUCUCAUUCGUCUAUCAGGUCACAUAUUAACAUUAUGACAAUGCAGUUUGACUGUUUAGCGGUCGAUGGACAUGUCAUUUCUUUUCCUUACUGUUUUGUGAGCUCAUACUGUUUUGUGGAUUGUGAUAUGUGCCAGGACUCCUUGUACCUGGCUGACGCCAGGUGGAGGGAAUCACUGAGGAUGUUAGAAAGGGCCUCCUUCUUUUUCCAUGUCAUUAGACUGGCAGGGUUUUUUCUCGAGGGAGGGCCGGCAACUUUUUGAGGUUUCUAACGGACCACGCCAAAUUCAUUACUUCACAAAUUAUCGACGGUAUUGAGGUAUUACCUAAGGGGGGUGGUUAUCGUCAUUUGGUUAAUGUGGACUUCAAUUUUCUUUACUUGUGGUUCCUGAGAGGCCUCAGAUUGCUGUCAGGGAGCAAUUGGAUAUCAAAGUAGUUUGAGCUUUCCUAGUUAAAAUAACCUUAAGUAGCAUGCCUCGAGCGUGAUAUAGGCUGUGCAGGUAUAGGCCAAAUUGUAGACGUGACCA